CGGCGGACGGGGUGAGUAACGCGUGGGGAACCUGCCUCAUACAGGGGAAUAACAGUUAGAAAUGACUGCUAAUGCCGCAUAAGCGCACACUGUGGCAUCACAGGGUGUGAAAAACUCCGGUGGUAUGAGAUGGCCCCGCGUCUGAUUAGGCAGUUGGCGGGGUAACGGCCCACCAAACCGACGAUCAGUAGCCGACCUGAGAGGGUGACCGGCCACAUUGGGACUGAGACACGGCCCAAACUCCUACGGAAGGCAGCAG
Molecule: ribosomal RNA, 259 nt
Filed under: uncultured bacterium
Lineage: Bacteria
Description: partial 16S ribosomal RNA
Rfam family: Bacterial small subunit ribosomal RNA
Source: RNAcentral